AUGGUGGCUAGUUUUACCUCAUACUCUUAUCCCUUGGUCAGGCAGCGCUCGAUCCAGAAGCACGACACGCAGCGGCAACGGAGUUCUUCACCAAUCCUUGCGCAGGUCGACGCCGGUGGAGUCCCUCUCCAAUUCGAAGCCACGCCUCCCUCUCUCUCCUGCAGAUCGAAUCCAGCACCGCCGCCGUCGCCGGCCAGCUCAUGGAGUCCAGCCACCGCCGCCCCAGAUGUUGGUUGCUGCUCCCCUCCUUUCCCCUCCUCCUUUGCCGUCGCCCCAGAUGCCGAGUCCCGAUCGAGGCCGCACUCCUCGGCUCGAGGUCCUCAGGCUGAGGCCGGAUCGAGGCCAUGGUCGUCGAGGCCGGCCAGGCGGGGGAGCCCGUCCCGCGUGAACCCAGAGCUGGCGGUGGUGACGGGUUCGCCCGCGAAGCGCUUGGUCACGGCAGCCUGCGCCCGAGCGAUGGGAAAGCGGGGAGGAGGAAGAGGCGACGCGGUGGAAGAGUAG
This 501-nucleotide ribosomal RNA is filed under the name Triticum aestivum (bread wheat). RNAcentral's name for it is "partial small subunit ribosomal RNA". Lineage: Eukaryota; Viridiplantae; Streptophyta; Magnoliopsida; Poales; Poaceae. The record is from RNAcentral.